AUUGAACGCUGGCGGCAUGCCUUACACAUGCAAGUCGAACGGCAGCGGACCUUCGGGUGCCGGCGAGUGGCGAACGGGUGAGUAAUAUAUCGGAACGUACCUUUCAGUGGGGAGUAACGUAGCGAAGUUACGCUAAUACCGCAUAUUCUGUGAGCAGGAAAGACAGGGGAGUCGCAAGACCUUGCGCUGAUUGAGCGGCCGGAUAUCAGAUUAGCUAGUUGGUGAGGUAAAGGACUCACCAAGGCGACGAUCUGUAGCGGGUCGUGAGAGGAUGAUCCGCCACACUGGAACUGAGACACGGUCCAGACUCCUACGGGAGGCAGCAGUGGGGAAUUUUGGACAAUGGGCGCAAGCCUGAUCCAG
This 363-nucleotide ribosomal RNA is filed under the name uncultured bacterium. RNAcentral's name for it is "bacterial SSU rRNA". It matches the Rfam family "Bacterial small subunit ribosomal RNA", at positions 30 to 391 of the family's 1533-position model. The record is from RNAcentral.